GGUAUCCCUACAUAGCGGGUGGGACCCACGGCGAAUGGUUCAUCAAGUCUUCAAAAAAGAAUAUAUACGAUUGCAUUGCAUAUACUAACGGAUGCGAUCAUACCAGCACUAAUGCACCGGAUCCCAUCAGAACUCCGCAGUUAAGCGUGCUUGGGCGAGAGUAGUACUAGGAUGGGUGACCUCCCGGGAAGUCCUCGUGUUGCAUCCCUCUUUUAUAUUUAACCUCUUUUUUUUUGGUU
This 239-nucleotide ribosomal RNA is filed under the name Arabidopsis thaliana (thale cress). The record is from RNAcentral. Lineage: Eukaryota; Viridiplantae; Streptophyta; Magnoliopsida; Brassicales; Brassicaceae.